Non-coding RNA from Cinara cedri, 333 nucleotides. The record is from the annotation of a GenBank genome assembly. NCBI's taxonomy places the organism in Eukaryota, Metazoa, Arthropoda, Insecta, Hemiptera, Aphididae.
GGUCAUUUUAGGUUAAAAGUCAUUUUUCGAUUUUCCUAGGAGUUUCUCAAUAAAUGUAAAAAACCGAAAAAAAAACUGAGGAAAAAGGGGAAAAUGUACAAAAUAUAUUACUAAAAUAUUACGAUUUUUUUGCUGUGCAUAACUUUUUUACCAGCAAUUAAGCUCCAAUUUACAAGGAUAGCACUUAUUCAAUAAGGAAAUCGUACUGGGACGGUACUUUAAGGAUGUCAUUUUUUCAAUUUUCUCGAGUUUUUCCAGCAAAUGUGAAAAACAAGGAAAAAACACUGGAAAACCGGGAAAAACGUAGUAAAAACUGGAAAACCGGUACAACAU